Molecule: non-coding RNA, 54 nt
Organism: Danio rerio (zebrafish)
Lineage: Eukaryota; Metazoa; Chordata; Actinopteri; Cypriniformes; Danionidae
Source: Rfam
CUUAUGCUCAUUUGUAAGUUGCUUUGGAUAAAAGCAUCUGCUAAAUGUAAAUGU